RNAcentral lists this transfer-messenger RNA (377 nucleotides) under Sulfurimonas sp. SAG-AH-194-I05. It matches the Rfam family "transfer-messenger RNA". Rfam says of the family: Bacterial tmRNA, also known as 10Sa RNA or SsrA, is named for its dual tRNA and mRNA-like properties. Its role is to liberate the mRNA from a stalled ribosome. To accomplish this part of the tmRNA is used as a reading frame that ends in a translation stop signal. Lineage: Bacteria; Pseudomonadati; Campylobacterota; Epsilonproteobacteria; Campylobacterales; Sulfurimonadaceae. The record is from RNAcentral.
GGGGACGACUUGGCUUCGACUGGAGUUGAUGGUCUGUAAUCGCAUGUCGGACUGAGCAUUUCCGUUACACGGCUCACAAUUGCUUAAACGCAAACAAUACAAAUUACCGCCCAGCUUUAGCAGUAGCUUAAGUUUUAACCCCCUCUUAGAGGACGGGCUGCUUCACCUAUGGACUCUGGAUAGAUAGGAUUCGAAGUAUAACCCUUAUGUAGAUAUAUACUAAGUUUGUCUCAUCUUAGUAUGAAUUUAGAGGCUCGUUUUGUGUAGCUUUGCAAGUUGUGUGAAGCAAAAUUAAACUUUUAACAACUUCUCUAAGCAUGUAGACGUUACAGAAACUCAACUUUAGGACUGCGGUUCGAUCCCGCACGUCUCCACCA